RNAcentral lists this non-coding RNA (221 nucleotides) under Fictibacillus macauensis. RNAcentral's name for it is "T-box sequence". It matches the Rfam family "T-box leader". From Rfam's summary of the family: Uncharged tRNA acts as the effector for transcription antitermination of genes in the T-box leader family. T-boxes are found upstream of many aminoacyl-tRNA synthetase genes and some amino acid biosynthetic genes usually in Gram-positive bacteria. The anticodon of a specific tRNA base pairs to a specifier sequence within the T-box motif, and the NCCA acceptor tail of the tRNA base pairs to a conserved bulge in the T-box antiterminator hairpin. Lineage: Bacteria; Bacillati; Bacillota; Bacilli; Caryophanales; Fictibacillaceae. The record is from RNAcentral.
UAAAAUGCGACGAACAGAGCGAAGUAGGCGCGUUCUUCUUGUUUCAGAAAGCUGGUGGUUGCUGUGAACCAGUACAGAGGAUGAGGCUGAAUUACACUCUUGGAGCUUUCUUUUUUAUAGGUAGAUCUUGUAAAAAAGAACGGUGAUAAACCGUUAUGAAUGCGAAGUGGAAGAACAGUGUUCUUCAACAAGGGUGGUACCGCGUGCAUCACGUCCCUUUU